Molecule: ribosomal RNA, 500 nt
Filed under: uncultured bacterium
Lineage: Bacteria
Description: partial 16S ribosomal RNA
Rfam family: Bacterial small subunit ribosomal RNA
Source: RNAcentral
AUUGAACGCUGGCGGAAUGCUUUACACAUGCAAGUCGAACGGCAGCACGGACUUCGGUCUGGUGGCGAGUGGCGAACGGGUGAGUAAUGUAUCGGAACGUGCCCAGUCGUGGGGGAUAACGUAGUGAAAAUUACGCUAAUACCGCAUACGAUCUAUGGAUGAAAGCGGGGGAUCGCAAGACCUCGCGCGAUUGGAGCGGCCGAUAACAGAUUAGGUAGUUGGUGGGGUAAAGGCCCACCAAGCCAACGAUCUGUAGCUGGUCUGAGAGGACGACCAGCCACACUGGAACUGUGAACCGGUCCAGACUACUACGGGAGGCAGCAGUGGGGAAUGUUGGACAAUGGGCGAAAGCCUGAUCCAGCCAUUCCGCGUGCAGGAUGAAGGCCCUCGGGUUGUAAACUGCUUUUGUACAGAACGAAAAGGUUUCUACUAAUACUAGGAGCUCAUGACGGUACUGUAAGAAUAAGCACCGGCUAACUACGUGCCAGCCGCCGCCGUAA